GAUUUGAUGUGUAGAUUGAUUCGAAUGAGAUAUUUUUCUUUUGCAGAAGACUCGAUCUAUCAUAGCUCAUUCGUUGCCGAGCUAAACUCCUUGCUACUAGAUCCGUCUCUCUUUUAAAUUGAAAAAGUCUAGAUUGUUUGAGAUUGGUUGGCCAUAUACGAGCUGUAGUUGGUUGUCUAAGGAUGAGGUAAACUAGGAUC
RNAcentral lists this long non-coding RNA (200 nucleotides) under Elaeis guineensis (African oil palm). Its description in RNAcentral is "long non-coding RNA (EGUI_LNC066542)". The record is from RNAcentral. Lineage: Eukaryota; Viridiplantae; Streptophyta; Magnoliopsida; Arecales; Arecaceae.